Molecule: ribosomal RNA, 891 nt
Filed under: uncultured bacterium
Lineage: Bacteria
Description: bacterial SSU rRNA
Rfam family: Bacterial small subunit ribosomal RNA
Source: RNAcentral
AGUUUGAUCCUGGCUCAGGACGAACGCUGGCGGCGUGCUUAACACAUGCAAGUCGAACGGUGAAGCCCUUCGGGGUGGAUCAGUGGCGAACGGGUGAGUAACACGUGGGCAAUCUGCCCUGCACUCUGGGACAAGCCUUGGAAACGAGGUCUAAUACCGGAUAUUACCCCUGGGGGCAUCCCUGGGGGUGGAAAGCUCCGGCGGUGCAGGAUGAGCCCGCGGCCUAUCAGCUUGUUGGUGGGGUGAUGGCCUACCAAGGCGACGACGGGUAGCCGGCCUGAGAGGGCGACCGGCCACACUGGGACUGAGACACGGCCCAGACUCCUACGGGAGGCAGCAGUGGGGAAUAUUGCACAAUGGGCGAAAGCCUGAUGCAGCGACGCCGCGUGAGGGAUGAAGGCCUUCGGGUUGUAAACCUCUUUCAGCAGGGAAGAAGCGCAAGUGACGGUACCUGCAGAAGAAGCACCGGCUAACUACGUGCCAGCAGCCGCGGUAAUACGUAGGGUGCGAGCGUUGUCCGGAAUUAUUGGGCGUAAAGAGCUCGUAGGCGGCUUGUCGCGUCGGAUGUGAAAGCCCGGGGCUUAACCCCGGGUCUGCAUUCGAUACGGGCAGGCUAGAGUGUGGUAGGGGAGAUCGGAAUUCCUGGUGUAGCGGUGAAAUGCGCAGAUAUCAGGAGGAACACCGGUGGCGAAGGCGGAUCUCUGGGCCAUUACUGACGCUGAGGAGCGAAAGCGUGGGGAGCGAACAGGAUUAGAUACCCUGGUAGUCCACGCCGUAAACGUUGGGCACUAGGUGUGGGUCACAUUCCACGUGGUCCGCGCCGCAGCUAACGCAUUAAGUGCCCCGCCUGGGGAGUACGGCCGCAAGGCUAAAACUCAAAGGAAUUGACGG